CCUACGGGUGGCAGCAGUGAGGAAUAUUGGUCAAUGGACGAGAGUCUGAACCAGCCAAGUAGCGUGAAGGAUGACUGCCCUAUGGGUUGUAAACUUCUUUUAUAAAGGAAUAAAACGAGGCACGUGUGCCUUUUUGCAUGUACUUUAUGAAUAAGGAUCGGCUAACUCCGUGCCAGCAGCCGCGGUAAUACGGGGGAUGCAAGCGUUGUCCGGAAUCAUUGGGCGUAAAGAGUUCGUAGGUGGCACGGUAAGUCUGGUGUUAAAUGCAGAGGCUCAACCUCUGUUCGGCACUGGAUACUGGCGAGCUUGAAUGCGGUAGAGGUAAAGGGAAUUCCUGGUGUAGCGGUGAAAUGCGUAGAUAUCAGGAGGAACAUCGGUGGCGUAAGCGCUUUACUGGGCCGUAAUUGACACUGAGGAACGAAAGCCAGGGUAGCAAAUGGGAUUAGAUACCCCUGUAGUC
RNAcentral lists this ribosomal RNA (460 nucleotides) under uncultured bacterium. RNAcentral's name for it is "partial 16S ribosomal RNA". It matches the Rfam family "Bacterial small subunit ribosomal RNA", at positions 338 to 795 of the family's 1533-position model. The record is from RNAcentral.